AGAGUUGAUCAUGGCUCAGGAUGAACGCUAGCGAUAGGCCUAACACAUGCAAGUCGAGGGGCAGCACAUGAGUAGCAAUACGAUGGUGGCGACCGGCGCACGGGUGAGUAACACGUAUGCAACCUACCUUUAACAGGGGAAUAACCCGUUGAAAAACGGACUAAUACUCCAUAACACAGGGGUCCCGCAUGGGAAUAUUUGUUAAAAGAUUUAUCGGUUGAAGAUGGGCAUGCGUUCCAUUAGCUUGUUGGUGAGGUAACGGCUCACCAAGGCUACGAUGGAUAGGGGAACUGAGAGGUUUAUCCCCCACACUGGAACUGAGACACGGUCCAGACUCCUACGGGAGGCAGCAGUGAGGAAUAUUGGUCAAUGGAGGCAACUCUGAACCAGCCAAGUCGCGUAGAAGGAUGAAGGUCUUAUGGAUUGUAAACUUCUUUUGCAAGGGAAUAAAGUGGGGGACGUGUCCUCCUUUGCAUGUACCUUGCGAAUAAGGAUCGGCUAACUCCGUGCCAGCCGCGGC
This 520-nucleotide ribosomal RNA is filed under the name uncultured bacterium. RNAcentral's name for it is "bacterial SSU rRNA". It matches the Rfam family "Bacterial small subunit ribosomal RNA", at positions 8 to 518 of the family's 1533-position model. The record is from RNAcentral.